Molecule: ribosomal RNA, 1024 nt
Filed under: Clonostachys sp. DIS 114e
Lineage: Eukaryota; Fungi; Ascomycota; Sordariomycetes; Hypocreales; Bionectriaceae
Description: eukaryotic LSU rRNA
Rfam family: Eukaryotic large subunit ribosomal RNA
Source: RNAcentral
UAAGCAUAUCAAUAAGCGGAGGAAAAGAAACCAACAGGGAUUGCCCUAGUAACGGCGAGUGAAGCGGCAACAGCUCAAAUUUGAAAUCUGGCGCAAGCCCGAGUUGUAAUUUGUAGAGGAUGUUUCUGGCGACGUGCCUUCCGAGUUCCCUGGAACGGGACGCCAUAGAGGGUGAGAGCCCCGUACGGUUGGAUGCCUAGCCUCUGUGAAACUCCUUCGACGAGUCGAGUAGUUUGGGAAUGCUGCUCUAAAUGGGAGGUAUACGUCUUCUAAAGCUAAAUACCGGCCAGAGACCGAUAGCGCACAAGUAGAGUGAUCGAAAGAUGAAAAGCACUUUGAAAAGAGGGUUAAAAAGUACGUGAAAUUGUUGAAAGGGAAGCGUUCAUGACCAGACUUGAGCAGGUUGAUCAUCCGUGGUUCUCCGCGGUGCACUCUGCCUGCUCAGGCCAGCAUCAGUUCGCUCCGGGGGAUAAAGGCUCUGGGAAUGUGGCUCCUUCGGGAGUGUUAUAGCCCACUGCGUAAUACCCUGGGGUGGACUGAGGUUCGCGCUCUGCAAGGAUGCUGGCGUAAUGGUCAUCAACGACCCGUCUUGAAACACGGACCAAGGAGUCGUCUUCGUAUGCGAGUGUUCGGGUGUCAAACCCCUACGCGUAAUGAAAGUGAACGUAGGAGAGAGCUUCGGCGCAUCUCCGACCGAUCCUGAUGUUCUCGGAUGGAUUUGAGUAAGAGCAUACGGGGCCGGACCCGAAAGAAGGUGAACUAUGCCUGUAUAGGGUGAAGCCAGAGGAAACUCUGGUGGAGGCUCGCAGCGGUUCUGACGUGCAAAUCGAUCGUCAAAUAUGGGCAUGGGGGCGAAAGACUAAUCGAACCUUCUAGUAGCUGGUUUCCGCCGAAGUUUCCCUCAGGAUAGCAGUAUUGAACUCAGUUUUAUGAGGUAAAGCGAAUGAUUAGGGACCCGGGGGCGCUAUAUUGCCUUCAUCCAUUCUCAAACUUUAAAUAUGUAAGAAGCCCUUGUUGCUUAAUU